Long non-coding RNA from Rhinopithecus roxellana (golden snub-nosed monkey), 353 nucleotides. RefSeq lists it as uncharacterized. Lineage: Eukaryota; Metazoa; Chordata; Mammalia; Primates; Cercopithecidae. The record is from RefSeq and is a predicted model, not a curated record. The transcript has 3 exons.
CAGAGCUGCUCUCGGGCCCAGGCAUUCCAUACUAGCCACAAGGCAAGGGGGCGGCCUGCAGGCUUGCUCUGCAGGUCUUGAAGGCAAACAAGCUUGGCAACACACACCCAGCACGACUGAGUCUUAAUGAAUAUCAAAAUCCUGCCACUGUUUCUGGUUUCGAAGGAAAAAGUUCCCACCCUCUGCCUCUAACGAUGUUACUUGCUGUAGGUUUAUGGCUGAAAUUUGGAUGUAAUGGCCACCACUACAUUGCCACCUUGAAACGAGAACAGCUGCAGCCAAGGUAGUAGAGGGUGGACCCCUGAUGACUGUGAGGUCCUAGUCUAGAAGUGCUUCCUUUCAAACUCUGCUUA